Molecule: ribosomal RNA, 49 nt
Filed under: Trichoderma harzianum
Lineage: Eukaryota; Fungi; Ascomycota; Sordariomycetes; Hypocreales; Hypocreaceae
Description: partial 28S ribosomal RNA
Source: RNAcentral
UUGACCUCGGAUCAGGUAGGUGUUCCUGCUGAACUUAAGCAUAUCAAAA